This 253-nucleotide ribosomal RNA is filed under the name uncultured bacterium. RNAcentral describes it as "partial 16S ribosomal RNA". It matches the Rfam family "Bacterial small subunit ribosomal RNA", at positions 524 to 776 of the family's 1533-position model. The record is from RNAcentral.
UACGUAGGGUGCAAGCGUUGUCCGGAAUUAUUGGGCGUAAAGAGCUCGUAGGCUGCUUGUCGCGUCGGCUGUGAAAACCUGGGGCUCAACCCCGGGCCUGCAGCCGAUACGGGCAAGCUAGAGUUCGGUAGGGGAGACUGGAAUUCCUGGUGUAGCGGUGAAAUGCGCAGAUAUCAGGAGGAACACCGGUGGCGAAGGCGGGUCUCUGGGCCGAUACUGACGCUGAGGAGCGAAAGCGUGGGUAGCAAACAGG